Molecule: ribosomal RNA, 331 nt
Filed under: uncultured Actinomycetes bacterium
Lineage: Bacteria; Bacillati; Actinomycetota; Actinomycetes
Description: bacterial SSU rRNA
Rfam family: Bacterial small subunit ribosomal RNA
Source: RNAcentral
GACGAACGCUGGCGGCGUGCUUAACACAUGCAAGUCGAACGGAGUUUAGUCGGUGGCAACACCGACGAAGACUUAGUGGCGAACGGGUGAGUAACACGUGAGAAACCUGUCCCGGUCUCUAGGAUAACAGUUGGAAACAGCUGCUAAUACUGGAUGACGUCGGAGCGUCGCAUGGCGCACUGACGAAAGGGUUACUGGAUCGGGAGGGUCUCGCGGCCUAUCAGCUUGUUGGUGGGGUAACGGCCUACCAAGGCAUCGACGGGUAGCUGGUCUGAGAGGAUGAUCAGCCACACUGGGACUGAGACACGGCCCAGACACCUACGGGUGGCAG